RNAcentral lists this ribosomal RNA (460 nucleotides) under uncultured bacterium. Its description in RNAcentral is "partial 16S ribosomal RNA". It matches the Rfam family "Bacterial small subunit ribosomal RNA", at positions 338 to 795 of the family's 1533-position model. The record is from RNAcentral.
CCUACGGGAGGCAGCAGUGAGGAAUAUUGGUCAAUGGCCGGAAGGCUGAACCAGCCAUGCCGCGUGAAGGUCAGUGCCCUAUGGGCGUUAAACUUCUUUUGUGCGGGAGCAAUAAUGGUCACGUGUGGCCAGACGAGAGUACCGUACGAAUAAGCAUCGGCUAACUCCGUGCCAGCAGCCGCGGUAAUACGGGGGAUGCAAGCGUUAUCCGGAUUUAUUGGGUUUAAAGGGUGCGUAGGCUGUGAGGUAAGUCAGCGGUGAAAUGCCCCCGCUCAACGGGGUGAAGUGCCAUUGAUACUGCCUUGCUGGAAUGCGGAUGCGGUGGGAGGAAUGUGUGGUGUAGCGGUGAAAUGCAUAGAUAUCACACAGAACACCGAUUGCGAAGGCAGCUCACGAAUCCGCGAUUGACGCUGAUGCACGAAAGCGUGGGUAUCAAACAGGAGUAGAUACCCCAGUAGUC